GACGAACGCUGGCGGUGUGCUUCACACAUGCAAGUCGAACGAGGUAGCAAUACCUAGUGGCGGACGGGUGAGUAAACGCGUGGGAAUCUGCCUUUAGAUGGGGGAUAACGGGUCGAAAGACUCGCUAAUACCGCAUAUGACGAAAGUUGAAAGGAGUAAUCCGUCUAAAGAUGAGCCCGCGUCCGAUUAGCUAGUUGGUAGAGUAAAAGCCUACCAAGGCGACGAUCGGUAGCUGGUCUGAGAGGAUGAUCAGCCACAAUGGGACUAGAGACACGGCCCAUACUCCUACGGAGGCAGCAGUGGGAAUUUUACGCAAUGGGCGAAAGCCUGACGUAGCGACACCGCGUGAGCGAAGAAGCCCUGGGU
Molecule: ribosomal RNA, 366 nt
Filed under: uncultured bacterium
Lineage: Bacteria
Description: bacterial SSU rRNA
Rfam family: Bacterial small subunit ribosomal RNA
Source: RNAcentral